AUAACAAAGGUGCACAGCAGUGGGCCCCAGGGUCGGUUUACUCAGUGGUGUAAUGUUUGUUCUCUUGGUCCUCACAGGCCCCUUUAUCAGGGCCCCCUGUCAGGCCCACUACGACCCUAUGAAAGGUCUUUGGCUUCAGUGCAUUGUGUAUUCUGCCACUGUGUACAGUCUGUGCAGAAAAGCAAGAAAAAGAGCCAAAGGUGAGGUGGUAAAGGCAAACAUUAAAAACGGAGAGAUGUGGAGCCUGCAGGUCUUGGUUGUGUUCCAUAAAGAGGCCAUCUAUGGUUCUUCAGAGUGGGAGAAAGGGGUGGAGAUUUAGGGUGCAUUCCUCACUCUUGAUGCCUUGAAGGUGUGUCAAGAAGACAGGCUUGGGCCCCUGCAGGCUUGCAGGCCACAGCAGGCUAAUAUUGUCUUGACCUACAACAGAUAGGAGCACCCCUCUUCCCUCAGCUAUGGUCUCAGCAAAAAGUAACUUUUGUGACUGGGAGGUCGCCGGUUCAAACCCCAGGCAUGCAAGGACCAAGAAAGAAUGGACUGGACUUGGAUUGGUGGCCAGGAAGCAGACUGGGGUGCAGCACCACCAUCCACCCCCUCCACCCAUCCUCAUUGUCAGUGCCACUGUCAACCCUAAACGUCCCUUCAAGUGCUCCCCGGCGCUGGAUGCCAGCUGCCCUCUGUGCCCACAUGUUGCAUGUUACAUGUGCAUGUGUGUAUUUUUGUUGGCAGAGACAUAAUUUCAUUGAAGGUGUGUACUGACAAUGAUUAAUAAAGGAUGUCUUCUUCUUCUUUUCCAGUUUUAAUGGCAAACACAUAUUCAUGGAGAAAAUAGUGGUUCAUUUAAUUUGAGCGGUAACUCUGUGUGUACAAGGAGGUGAAAGAAACUAUGAUCACUUGCCAAAUGUGCAUCCUUCCACUCCAGAACCUCAUGAUCUGCAAAAAGCAUAGACCCAAUCCUGAAGUGUCUGCAUAGAACUUCUGUCCAUGAUGCUGAUGAAUAGAAUCUAGCAACCAAUCAGACUUACUGCUGGCAAUGUGGCCCAAGCUCAGUCCCUGUGAUCAAUCAGGUACCUAAAAAGGACUUCCCAGAGGAAUACCUGAUGUACAUGGUGGAACAUUUGCUCUGUGUCCACAAAGCAAAUAUUGACUGGCAUAUUUGGUCCUAGCUGAGGGGUUAGCACUUAAAUUUUAAUGUUUUCACAGCCCUUAUGCUGCAAUAAUGCAAGGUUUUGUCAUUGUGUGCAAUAAUGCAAUGUUUGUGUUCCCUGGCUGUGAUGUCAUUUGUCAUGUCCAUUUUUUUUUUUACAUUUGAACCAUAGCUCAUGGCAUCAUGGUGGGUGUAGUAUAUAAACAAGAGUCAUAGUUGCAUUCAGAACACAAUGGUUCUGAAUCUGUCACACUAACAUCAUUCUACUAAUAUAGACAACAGUAGAAGCCAGCUCAUAGGGAAGAUCGUUGGAACCCAUCACCAGGUGAUUGACGUCCUGGGAGAAGGUACCUACUCUGUGGUGAUGAGCUGCUGCAAUCUUUCUACCAAAUAGAUGGAGGCUGUAAAGCUGUUCAGGUAAUGCCACAACAUUGCUGAUGUGGCUCAGAGAGAGGUCAGCAUCCUGGGGGGGCUGAGACGUCUCAAUCCAAACAAGUCCAACGUCAUCAGCUGGAAGAGCAGUUUUUCUUCUGAGCAGUUAUCCUGGAUUUGAGCUCCUUGACCAAUAGAUCGUUAUCGUCAUGGGACCAGGGCCCUUCUGGUGUCUGAGGUUAGACCUAUUACACAUCAGCUGUCCACAGCUCUUGAUCACUUAAAGACUGUUGGAAUUGUUCAUGCCGAUCUUAAACCUGACAACAUCUUAUGUGUGAACCGUAACCAGCUGCCAAUCAGAGUGAAGUUAGCAUGGACUGGCUCAGUAUUUAGAAAAUAUUGAUUCUACUUGGCCCAUCCAGACUCUCUGCUACAGGGCUCCUGAGGUUUUAGUAAGGGGCGUUUAUAAUGAGGCCAUAGACAUGUGAUCUCUAGGUGUAACAGCUGCAGAACUGGUGCUGGGGACCUUCCUCUAUGGUGUCAGUAAUGAAUAUGAUUCACGGAGAGCCAUCAUAGAAACACAGGGACCCAGAUUACUUGGUAGACCUAGGAAAUUUUUCAAAUCAAAUCAAUCUUUUACAAUCAAAAUUGUUUCAAGGUGCUUUCCAGAAUCCCGGGGCCUAACCCCAGACAAGCAACAGUGGCAAGGAAAAACUCCCCUUUAACAGGAAGAAACCUUGAGCAGGACCAGGCUCAUGUAGGGGGACCCUCCUGCUGAUGGCCGGCUGGGUAGAAAGAGAGGAGAAGGGGGGAGGACAGGUAGAGGAUAGAAUAGGGAGAGGAGAGGAGAGGAGAGGAGAGGAGAGGAGAGGAGAGGAGAGGAGAGGAGAGGAGAGGAGAGGAGAGGAGAGGAGAGGAGAGGAGAGGAGAGGAGAGGAGAGGAGAGGAGAGGAGAGAGGAAUAGAGCAUAAAUUUUUCCCAUUCAAGACACCAAAAGUGCCACCCAGUGAGGCACCUCCCAGUAAAAGAACUGUAUGUGUCCAGGAGCCUUGAUAAAUACCAAAAUGUUAAACCUGGAUCCUAAAGAUUGUAUGUAGUUUGGUGGUGACAGAAGCUCUCAUGUUUAUGGAUCUGGAAUGGUAUUUAUAUGUGCAGCAAUGGGCUCAGAGGGAGCCUGGAGACACCAUGACCACCAUCCUUCAUACCUGCCUCCUUUAAGUAUCCCUGACUACCUGACAUACGUUCCACACCUCACUCCAGCAUUAACAUGCACUUUACAAAUGGCUUACGUUGACCUCUGUAAUUUAUGCUAAGUGCUGACUUCACUGUACUUUUAAAUAAAAGGCGCAUUUUAGAUUGAAGAAUUACAUUUUUUUAGUCUGUCAAAAUGUCAAACUGAGGAAAAAGAUUUGGGCAACAUUGUUUUUUUUUUGUUCUUUUUAAAAAAAGCAUUACUUCAGAAAAUUCAAGUUUUUAUUUGAAGAUAAUUUUCUUGUUCAUUAAUAAAAGAAUUGAAUUCCUCACAAACAAUGUGAUAUCUUUGUUCUUACUUGCACCUGCAAGGGUGUGUUGUGUUCUUGGAGCUGUGAGCCUGGAUGUGAAGCUGUCAGCCUCACAAGCCUUCCGAGUGUUGCACCAAGGCCUGGUCCAACAUUCACCUCACUCAUGACAGGUUCUUUCACUGGGAGUAUUCAGUGCUUAAAAAUGCAGCUUUAAUGACAACUCAAGAUAGUGAUUAUGCUGAAAGAUGGACUCUGCACAGCAAAUUAUAUUAUUAUAUAUAUUAUAUAUUAUUCCUAUAUAUUAGGAAUAGUAUAUAGUUUGGAAUGAUAGCAAACACAUUUAAAGGAAAGAGAAUAGAAGAUCGUCUGCAUAUAAGCAUUAAACUAGUUGACCCUCACAUUACAGCAGCAGGACAA
Takifugu rubripes (torafugu) is the source of this 3435-nucleotide long non-coding RNA. The record is from Ensembl. Lineage: Eukaryota; Metazoa; Chordata; Actinopteri; Tetraodontiformes; Tetraodontidae.